GAUUAGCUAGUUGGUGAGGUAAAGGCUCACCAAGGCGACGAUCCGUAGCUGGUCUGAGAGGAUGAUCAGCCACAUCGGGACUGAGACACGGCCCGAACUCCUACGGGAGGCAGCAGUGGGGAAUAUUGGACAAUGGGGGAAAGCCUGAUCCAGCCAUGCCGCGUGUGUGAAGAAGGCCCUCGGGUUGUAAAGCACUUUCAGCGAGGAAGAACGCCUAGUGGUUAAUACCCAUUAGGAAAGACAUCACUCGCAGAAGAAGCACCGGCUAACUCCGUGCCAGCAGCCGCGGUAAUACGGAGGGUGCAAGCGUUAAUCGGAAUUACUGGGCGUAAAGCGCGCGUAGGUGGCUUGAUAAGCCGGUUGUGAAAGCCCCGGGCUCAACCUGGGAACGGCAUCCGGAACUGUCAAGCUAGAGUGCAGGAGAGGAAGGUAGAAUUCCCGGUGUAGCGGUGAAAUGCGUAGAGAUCGGGAGGAAUACCAGUGGCGAAGGCGGCCUUCUGGACUGACACUGACACUGAGGUGCGAAAGCGUGGGUAGCAAACAGGAUUAGAUACCCUGGUAGUCCACGCCGUAAACGAUGUCAACCAGCCGUUGGGUGCCUAGCGAACUUUGUGGCGAAGUUAACGCGAUAAGUCGACCGCCUGGGGAGUACGGCCGCAAGGUUAAAACUCAAAUGAAUUGACGGGGGCCCGCACAAGCGGUGGAGCAUGUGGUUUAAUUCGAUGCAACGCGAAGAACCUUACCUACUCUUGACAUCCUGCGAACUUGUGAGAGAUGGAUUGGUGCCUUCGGGAACGCUGAGACAGGUGCUGCAUGGCUGUCGUCAGCUCGUGUUGUGAAAUGUUGGGUUAAGUCCCGCAACGAGCGCAACCCUUGUCCUUAUUUGCCAGCGCGUAAUGGCGGGAACUCUAAGGAGACUGCCGGUGACAAACCGGAGGAAGGUGGGGACGACGUCAAGUCAUCAUGGCCCUUACGAGUAGGGCUACACACGUGCUACAAUGGCCGGUACAAAGGGUUGCGAGCUCGCGAGAGUCAGCUAAUCCCGAAAAGCCGGUCUCAGUCCGGAUCGGAGUCUGCAACUCGACUCCGUGAAGUCGGAAUCGCUAGUAAUCGUGAAUCAGAAUGUCACGGUGAAUACGUUCCCGGGCCUUGUACACAC
This 1159-nucleotide ribosomal RNA is filed under the name uncultured bacterium. RNAcentral describes it as "bacterial SSU rRNA". It matches the Rfam family "Bacterial small subunit ribosomal RNA", at positions 239 to 1390 of the family's 1533-position model. The record is from RNAcentral.